UUUAGUAAACGAGCUGAACACGAGCUGGAUUUUUCAGCUCGUUUAAUAAAUGAGCCGAACACGAGCUGGGGUCAACUCGCUUGUGUUCGGCUCGAUAACAGCUCGAAUACACAUAUUUUAUAUUUAUAUAAUUUAUUUAAUUUAUAUUUUUAUAUAUAAAUAAAUAAUUGUAUAUAAUAUAUAUUUUUAUUAUUUAAAUUUUAGCAAAAUAAAAAUAUAAAUGGAGCUUAAUUAUAAAAAGAUUCAUUUAUAUAUAAAGUUUCAACUAUUAGAUCAAAGUCUAAUGGAUAAGAUUUUAUAAAUUUAUAUUUUAUAUAUAUUUAAUCUAAUUUUUUUUAAUUUAUUGUUCGUUGGCCAGCUCGUGAGCCAGCUUGUGUUCGGCUCAUUAAUAAACGAGCCGAACACGAGCUGAAUUUUUCGGCUCGAUACUUUAACGAGCCAGCUCGUGUUCGGCUCGUUUAAUAAACGAGCCGAACACGAGCCGACCCCAGCUCGCUCGUGUUCGGCUCGUUUACACCCCUAGGGUCGGGUAAUACUAUGCCAAGCCCAGCCCAAAUAAAAAUGUUGGGCUUCGGGUCGGGCUUUUAACCAAUUUUUUUUGAAAAUUAAGGCCUGGCC
RNAcentral lists this long non-coding RNA (618 nucleotides) under Ananas comosus (pineapple). RNAcentral's name for it is "long non-coding RNA (ACOM_LNC024185)". The record is from RNAcentral. Lineage: Eukaryota; Viridiplantae; Streptophyta; Magnoliopsida; Poales; Bromeliaceae.